RNAcentral lists this long non-coding RNA (1086 nucleotides) under Homo sapiens (human). RNAcentral describes it as "non-protein coding lnc-ZBED5-1:4". Lineage: Eukaryota; Metazoa; Chordata; Mammalia; Primates; Hominidae. The record is from RNAcentral.
CUGGAAACCUAGUCUGGUUCAAGGGUGUGCUCUUUCUGCUCUGCCAUGCUGUGCUUCAGCCCUUCCCCACUCUCAGCCCCAUGUGCACGCAGAUAGGGAUUUUCACUCUUUGCCCUGUAUGAAAGGAGGGAAGGAAGCCAGGCACCCCGAAUGGAGAGACCAGCUGAAGCCGCGGCAGAAGAACAAAAAUUGUGAAGAUUUAAUGGACAUUUAUCAGUUCCCAAAAUUAAUAUUUUUAUAAUUUCUUACGCCUGUCUUUACUGCAAUCUCUGAACAUAAAUUGUGAAGAUUUCAUGGAUAUUUAUCACUUCCCCAAUCAAUACUCUUAUAAUUUCUUAUGUUUGUCUUUAAUCUCUUAAUCCCGUCAUCUUUGUAAGCUGAGGAUGUAUGUCACCUCAGGACCCUGUGAUGAUUGCAUUAACUGUACAGAUUGUAAAACGUGUGUUUGAACAAUAUGAAACCAGUGCACCCUGAAAAAGGACAGAAUAACAGUGAUUUUCAGGGAACAAAAGAGAUAAUCAUAAGGCCUGACUGCCUGCGGGGUUGGGCAGAACACAGCCAUAUUUUUCUUCUCGCAGAAAGCCUAUAGAUGGAUGUGUGAGUAGGAGAAAUAUUGCUGAAUUCUUUUCCCAGCAAGGAAUAUUAAUAAUUGAUAGCCCUGGGGAAGGAAUGCAUUCCUGGGGGGAGGUCUAUGAACGCCUGCUCUGGGAUUGUCUGUCUUAUGUGGUUGAGAUAAGGACUGAAAUACACCCUGGUCUCCCGCAGUGCCCUCAGGCUUGCUAGGAUUGGGAAAUUCCAGCCUGGUGAAUUCUAGUCAGACCGGUUGUCUGCUCUCAAACUCUCUUUCCUGUUAAGAUGUUUAUCAAGACAAUGCAUGCACAGGAGGACAUGGACCCUCAUCAGUAAUUCUAAUUUUGCCCUUGCCUUGUGAUCUUUUAUUGCCCUUUGAAGCAUGUGAUCCUUGUGACCUACUCCCUGUUCGUACAUCUACUCUCCUUCUAAAAUCCUAAUAAAAACUUGCUGGUUUUGCAGCUCAGGGUCGCCAUCACGGUCCUACCAAUAUGUGAUGGCACCCCCAGAGGCCCA